AAUUAAUGAGCUUGUUAAAGCAUUUGUUUUGAAAACUUAAGAAAGAAUUAAAUUCUAUUAAUUU
This 64-nucleotide transfer RNA is filed under the name Niphonyx segregata. RNAcentral's name for it is "tRNA-Ser". The record is from RNAcentral. Lineage: Eukaryota; Metazoa; Arthropoda; Insecta; Lepidoptera; Noctuidae. RNAcentral also lists the same sequence under 1 other name.